CCUACGGGUGGCAGCAGUGAGGAAUAUUGGUCAAUGGACGCAAGUCUGAACCAGCCAUGCCGCGUGCAGGAAGAAGGCUCUAUGAGUUGUAAACUGCUUUUGUACGGGGGUAAAUCCCGACACGUGUAUAGGUUUGAAAGUAUCCUACGAAUAAGGAUCGGCUAACUCCGUGCCAGCAGCCGCGGUAAUACGGAGGAUUCAAGCGUUAUCCGGAUUUAUGGGGUUAAAAGGGUGCGUAGGUGGACGUUUAAGUCAGUGGUAAAAUUGCGGGGCUCAACCUCGGAGAGCCGUUGAAACUGGGUGCCUUGAGUGGGCGAGAGGUACGCGGAAUGCGUGGUGUAGCGGUGAAAUGCAUAGAUAUCACGCAGAACUCCGAUUGCGAAGGCAGCUUACCGGCCCCCAACUGACGCUGAAGCACGAAGGCGUGGGUAUCGAACAGGAUUAGAUACCCGAGUAGUC
Molecule: ribosomal RNA, 459 nt
Filed under: uncultured bacterium
Lineage: Bacteria
Description: partial 16S ribosomal RNA
Rfam family: Bacterial small subunit ribosomal RNA
Source: RNAcentral